Long non-coding RNA from Carassius gibelio (silver crucian carp), 984 nucleotides. RefSeq lists it as uncharacterized. The transcript is spliced from 3 exons. The record is from RefSeq and is a predicted model, not a curated record. NCBI's taxonomy places the organism in Eukaryota, Metazoa, Chordata, Actinopteri, Cypriniformes, Cyprinidae.
GCGGAACCUUUAUUUACCACGCUCUUGACUUGUUUUUAUACAGUCUAUGCUUGGAACCUUUUCUUGUGUGUUAUCAAAUUGCUUUGCAUUUUAAAAAGUCAACCACUUGAUACACAUAGAAAACAAUAGUAUGAAAAUAGGAUGAGGCAGACAGACAGAUGGACUGAAAUUGGCAACAGAAAUGACUGCACAGGAGAGACAAUCAGGGCUUUCCCAAUCCAACUUCCAGGCAGCAUGUCCUCUUUAGACCUGAACUAGUUCUGCAGGUCACCCCCAAAAAAGCUGCUGGAGGUUUGUUUGGAAAUGUUUCAAGGACAGUGUUUAGGGGGUGUUUGUGCACUUCACUUAGUAAUCAGAUGUUCAUACUUCAUUUGCAUUUGGAGAGAGAUGGCAGAACACAGGGAAAUCUGAUCCCGGCACCACAUGCCAAGCUUGUGCAUGAAAAUCAAUGCACAGUCACUACACUGUAGAUUUGGCUGCCAUCUUUUCAUGGCUAACAUGUGUCACUGAUCAGAGGUGAUUUUAUUCACAACCAAUCAAAUAGCAUGUGGUUAAAGAAGGUGGCUGAUUAAAACAUAAUUCUCAGUGAGUUUCCAGAGUUCUUGACUAAUUUUAUGGAUUAAAUAAAUGAAUAAAUGACUUUUUAGUAAUUUAGUACUUUUCUAUUUUUUGUUGUUGAAAGAUUGUUAGCAUUGUCACCCAAAAAAGAAAAAAGCCACUUCAAAGGGGAAACAUGUAAGAUUACAAACGUGUUUUUCUUUUCUUUGGAAUUCAAUUCAAUGAUAUCAUAAAAUGCGUACGACAAAAUCAGGAACUUGUAAAAAACGUUUCAUGUGCACGUUAGAUUCUCUGUGGAACUGUGGUAAAGUGAAAACUGUAAUUGGUUGAUUUGGUGUUUUAUUCCGAAAGUGCUUCCAGAUAUAUUGUGCCUUUGUGUUGUUUGGAUUUCUCUAUUAUUAAAGAUUUAUAGUUAUCAUGAUCAAA